This 421-nucleotide ribosomal RNA is filed under the name uncultured bacterium. RNAcentral describes it as "partial 16S ribosomal RNA". It matches the Rfam family "Bacterial small subunit ribosomal RNA", at positions 360 to 774 of the family's 1533-position model. The record is from RNAcentral.
AAUAUUGGACAAUGGGGGCAGCCCUGAUCCAGCCAUGCCGCGUGUGUGAAGAAGGUCUUCGGAUUGUAAAGCACUUAAGUUGGGAGGAAGGGCUUUUGGUUAAUAACCUGAAGCUUUUACGUUACCAACAGAAUAAGCACCUGCUAACUCUGUGCCAGCAGCCGCGGUAAUACAGAGGGUGAAAGCGUUAAUCUGAAUUACUGGGCGUAAAGCGCGCGUAGGUGGUUCAGUAAGAUGGGUGUGAAAUCCCCGGGCUUAACCUGGGAACUGCUUUCAUAACUGCUGAGCUAGAGUACGGUAGAGGGUAGUGGAAUUUCCUGUGUAGCGGUGAAAUGCGUAGAUAUAGGAAGGAACACCAGUGGCGAAGGCGACUACCUGGACUGAUACUGACACUGAGGUGCGAAAGCGUGGGGAGCAAACA